Molecule: long non-coding RNA, 448 nt
Organism: Poecilia latipinna (sailfin molly)
Lineage: Eukaryota; Metazoa; Chordata; Actinopteri; Cyprinodontiformes; Poeciliidae
Exons: 3
Source: RefSeq, a predicted model, not a curated record
CCAUCUUUGUUGCCACCGACAAAAACGACUCUCAGAUAUUUUAGCUAUGGGACGAACUUGCUGCGUUAUUGGGUGUAAUGUCCGAUCACACUACUGAAACGGUAAAAAGAUGAAAAACGGACUUUCGUUUCACUAUUUUCCUGCUUGGAAACAACGAGAGGAGGCUAAGCUAUCAGAGCUAACUAAAAGAAGACGAAUGUCCUGGGUGUCCGCGGUUGAGACGUCCUGAUAUCUUCUCCAAAACCCCCAGAUACCUACAAGUUUGCUCCAGACAUUUCCAUUCUGGCAAACCGAUGUAUGAAAUGGAUGAGAUCAAUCCUGACUGGGUUCCAGUGCUGAAUAUGGGUCACUGAGAAGAGGUAAAUAAUGCCACAAGAGGCUGUAGAUGAGGAGCAAGUUGGAGAGGCUGACGAAGAAACGCCAGGAGAGGAGCUCAGCAAGGCUGCAG